UUCGUAGGCGGGUCAAUAAGUCAGAGGUGAAAUCUUGCAGCUUAACUGUAAAAUUGCCUUUGAUACUGUUGACCUUGAAUUAUUGUGAAGUGGUUAGAAUAUGUAGUGUAGCGGUGAAAUGCUUAGAGAUUACAUAGAAUACCGAUUGCGAAGGCAGAUCACUAACAAUAUAUUGACGCUGAUGAACGAAAGCGUGGGUAGCGAACAGGAUUAGAUACCCUGGUAGUCC
RNAcentral lists this ribosomal RNA (229 nucleotides) under uncultured bacterium. Its description in RNAcentral is "partial 16S ribosomal RNA". It matches the Rfam family "Bacterial small subunit ribosomal RNA", at positions 568 to 796 of the family's 1533-position model. The record is from RNAcentral.